RNAcentral lists this ribosomal RNA (682 nucleotides) under Acinetobacter sp. Bac23D4. RNAcentral describes it as "bacterial SSU rRNA". It matches the Rfam family "Bacterial small subunit ribosomal RNA", at positions 36 to 715 of the family's 1533-position model. Lineage: Bacteria; Pseudomonadati; Pseudomonadota; Gammaproteobacteria; Moraxellales; Moraxellaceae. The record is from RNAcentral.
CUGGCGGCAGCUUACCAUGCAAUCCGAGCGGGGGGAGGUAGCUUGCUACCGUACCUAGCGGCGGACGGGUGAGUAAUGCUUAGGAAUCUGCCUAUUAGUGGGGGACAACAUCUCGAAAGGGAUGCUAAUACCGCAUACGUCCUACGGGAGAAAGCAGGGGAUCUUCGGACCUUGCGCUAAUAGAUGAGCCUAAGUCGGAUUAGCUAGUUGGUGGGGUAAAGGCCUACCAAGGCGACGAUCUGUAGCGGGUCUGAGAGGAUGAUCCGCCACACUGGGACUGAGACACGGCCCAGACUCCUACGGGAGGCAGCAGUGGGGAAUAUUGGACAAUGGGGGGAACCCUGAUCCAGCCAUGCCGCGUGUGUGAAGAAGGCCUUAUGGUUGUAAAGCACUUUAAGCGAGGAGGAGGCUACUUUAGUUAAUACCUAGAGAUAGUGGACGUUACUCGCAGAAUAAGCACCGGCUAACUCUGUGCCAGCAGCCGCGGUAAUACAGAGGGUGCGAGCGUUAAUCGGAUUUACUGGGCGUAAAGCGUGCGUACGCGGCUUAUUAACUCGGAUGUGAAAUCCCCGAGCUUAACUUGGGAAUUGCAUUCGAUACUGGUGAGCUAGAGUAUGGGAGAGGAUGGUAGAACUCCAGGUGUAGCCGUGAAAUGCGUAAAGAUCUUGAGGAAUAACCAUGG